This 484-nucleotide ribosomal RNA is filed under the name uncultured bacterium. Its description in RNAcentral is "partial 16S ribosomal RNA". It matches the Rfam family "Bacterial small subunit ribosomal RNA", at positions 30 to 507 of the family's 1533-position model. The record is from RNAcentral.
AUUGAACGCUGGCGGCAGGCCUAACACAUGCAAGUCGAGCGGAUGAAGGGAGCUUGCUCCUGGAUUCAGCGGCGGACGGGUGAGUAAUGCCUAGGAAUCUGCCUGGUAGUGGGGGAUAACGUCCGGAAACGGGCGCUAAUACCGCAUACGUCCUGAGGGAGAAAGUGGGGGAUCUUCGGACCUCACGCUAUCAGAUGAGCCUAGGUCGGAUUAGCUAGUUGGUGGGGUAAAGGCCUACCAAGGCGACGAUCCGUAACUGGUCUGAGAGGAUGAUCAGUCACGCUGGAACUGAGACACGGUCCAGACGCCUACGGGAGGCAGCAGUUGUGAAUAUUGGACGAUUGGCGAAAGCCUGAGCCAGCCGUGCCGCGUGUGUGAAGAAGGGCCUCUGAUUUUAAAGCUCUCUAAAUUGGGAGGAAGAGCAGUAAGUUAAUACCUUGCUGUUUUGACGUUACCAACAGAAUAAGCAACGGCUAACUUCGUG